CGCUGGCGGCAUGCCUAACACAUGCAAGUCGAACGAGACCUUCGGGUCUAGUGGCGCACGGGUGCGUAACGCGUGGGAAUUUGCCUCGGGGUACGGAAUAACUCAGGGAAACUUGAGCUAAUACCGUAUGAUGUCUUCGGACCAAAGAUUUAUCGCCCUGAGAUAAGCCCGCAUAGGAUUAGCUAGUUGGUGAGGUAAGAGCUCACCAAGGCGACGAUCCUUAGCUGGUCUGAGAGGAUGAUCAGCCACACUGGGACUGAGACACGGCCCAGACUCCUACGGGAGGCAGCAGUGGGGAAUAUUGGACAAUGGGCGAAAGCCUGAUCCAGCAAUGCCGCGUGAGUGAUGAAGGCCUUAGGGUUGUAAAGCUCUUUACCCGAGAUGAUAAUGACAGUAUCGGGAGAAUAAGCUCCGGCUAACUCCGUG
RNAcentral lists this ribosomal RNA (426 nucleotides) under uncultured bacterium. Its description in RNAcentral is "bacterial SSU rRNA". It matches the Rfam family "Bacterial small subunit ribosomal RNA", at positions 34 to 507 of the family's 1533-position model. The record is from RNAcentral.